GAUGAACGCCGGCGGCGUGCCUAAUACAUGCAAGUCGAGCGAACAGAUAAGGAGCUUGCUCCUCUGACGUUAGCGGCGGACGGGUGAGUAACACGUGGGUAACCUACCUAUAAGACUGGGAUAACUUCGGGAAACCGGAGCUAAUACCGGAUAACAUUUGGAACCGCAUGGUUCUAACGUGAAAGAUGGUUUUGCUAUCCCUUAUCGAUGGACCUGCGCCGUAUUAGCUAGUUGGUAAGGUAACGGCUUACCAAGGCGACGAUACGUAGCCGACCGGAGAGGGUGAUCGGCCACACUGGAACUGAGACACGGUCCAGACUCCUACGGGAGGCAGCAGUAGGGAAUCUUCCGCAAUGGGCGAAAGCCUGACGGAGCAACGCCGCGUGAGUGAUGAAGGGUUUCGGCUCGUAAAACUCUGUUAUUAGGGAAGAACAAACGUGUAAGUAACUGUGCACGUCUUGACGGUACCUAAUCAGAAAGCCACGGCUAACUACGUGCCAGCCGCCGCCGUAA
Molecule: ribosomal RNA, 513 nt
Filed under: uncultured bacterium
Lineage: Bacteria
Description: partial 16S ribosomal RNA
Rfam family: Bacterial small subunit ribosomal RNA
Source: RNAcentral